Molecule: small RNA, 294 nt
Filed under: Hafnia alvei
Lineage: Bacteria; Pseudomonadati; Pseudomonadota; Gammaproteobacteria; Enterobacterales; Hafniaceae
Description: Soft rot Enterobacteriaceae Rev 39 5'UTR
Rfam family: Soft rot Enterobacteriaceae Rev 39 5'UTR
About the family: From bacteria cultured under starvation conditions.
Source: RNAcentral
AAUUAUUGUCAGGCGGCAAAGAACUGUGAUAACUCUUUAAGCAUUAGCUCAGAAGGCAACAGAAAAAACUAUUUAUGAAAACUCUCGUUCAAGUACUCAGCCUCGUCGUGAUUAGUGUGGUGGUGAUUAUUAUCCCACCGUGCGGGGCAGCACUUGGACGAAGAAAGGCUUAAAAAUCAGGCCUGAAUCAAACGAGAACCCCCGCACCGAAAGGUCCGGGGGUUUUUUUUCGCAAUGAAAAAGUGAUAGGGAACAACAAAUGGCUAACAGAAUAAAAUCCUGUUGUCCCAGUAA